RNAcentral lists this transfer RNA (68 nucleotides) under Parablarinella griselda (Indochinese short-tailed shrew). RNAcentral describes it as "tRNA-Lys". The record is from RNAcentral. Lineage: Eukaryota; Metazoa; Chordata; Mammalia; Eulipotyphla; Soricidae.
CAUCAAGAAGCUAAAUAGCAUUAACCUUUUAAGUUAAAGAUUGAGAGACUCCACCCUCUCCUUGAUGA